CCUACGGGAGGCAGCAGUGAGGAAUAUUGGUCAAUGGGCGCUAGCCUGAACCAGCCAAGUAGCGUGAAGGAUGACUGCCCUAUGGGUUGUAAACUUCUUUUAUAUGGGAAUAAAGUGCAGUAUGUAUACUGCUUUGCAUGUACCUUAUGAAUAAGGAUCGGCUAACUCCGUGCCAGCAGCAGCGGUAAUACGGAGGAUCCGAGCGUUAUCCGGAUUUAUUGGGUUUAAAGGGAGCGUAGGCGGGUUGUUAAGUCAGUUGUGAAAGUUUGCGGCUCAACCGUAAAAUUGCAGUUGAGACUGGCAGCCUUGAGUACAGUAGAGGUAGGCGGAAUUCGUGGUGUAGCGGUGAAAUGCUUAGAUAUCACGAAGAACUCCGAUUGCGAAGGCAGCCUGCUGGACUGUAACUGACGCUGAUGCUCGAAAGUGUGGGUAUCAAACAGGAUUAGAUACCCUAGUAGUC
RNAcentral lists this ribosomal RNA (460 nucleotides) under uncultured bacterium. RNAcentral's name for it is "partial 16S ribosomal RNA". It matches the Rfam family "Bacterial small subunit ribosomal RNA", at positions 338 to 795 of the family's 1533-position model. The record is from RNAcentral.